Homo sapiens (human) is the source of this 148-nucleotide non-coding RNA. It matches the Rfam family "Metazoan signal recognition particle RNA". Rfam says of the family: The signal recognition particle (SRP) is a universally conserved ribonucleoprotein. The record is from Rfam. NCBI's taxonomy places the organism in Eukaryota, Metazoa, Chordata, Mammalia, Primates, Hominidae.
GCCGGGCUUGGUGGUGCACGCCUGUAAUCCCAGCUACUCAGGAGGCUAAGGUGGGAGAAUUGCUUGAACCCAGGAGGCUGAGGUUGCAGUGAGCCGAGAUUGCACCACUGCACUCCAGCCUGGGUGACAGAGCAAGACUCCAUCUAAA